CCCCACCCUGCCUUUUGACCUUGCUGGGGGCAUUGUUCAAGUUUACUUAUAGGACUAGGCACAUUCACGUUCCUCUUAUUGUACCUACUGUCUUCCAACUCUGGUCCUUACUCAACCUAGAGAACUUCCCUCUAACUGUCCUUUCCGAAAAUCAGUAUUGGUGGCCAUCGGUUAGGAGCUCUGUGAAGGUUGUGGCGUUUUUUGCUAUAUCCGUAUAUCGUUCGACAGUAGUCUGUAUGCCGCAGACAGUAUGGCGUGAAGGAUUGUGACUUGUGUGUCAGUCUCAGUUGUGAUUCCAACCUUGAUGGCAGUUCGUAACAUUAAAUGCUACUCUGCCUUCUGAUUAAUUCUUCUAGAGAGGUACACAAUUUUGUUCGUCGUCGUUACUUCAAUUAACAUCAUGGGUUCUUUAUCUGUCACAAUGAAGCGGAAG
RNAcentral lists this long non-coding RNA (433 nucleotides) under Sinocyclocheilus grahami. Its description in RNAcentral is "lncRNA (ENSSGRG00000017271.1)". The record is from RNAcentral. Lineage: Eukaryota; Metazoa; Chordata; Actinopteri; Cypriniformes; Cyprinidae.